This is a long non-coding RNA of Neofelis nebulosa (Clouded leopard), 599 nucleotides long. RefSeq lists it as uncharacterized. The record is from RefSeq and is a predicted model, not a curated record. NCBI's taxonomy places the organism in Eukaryota, Metazoa, Chordata, Mammalia, Carnivora, Felidae. The transcript has 4 exons.
CUGGUAUUCAGAAUUGGUCUUGCUGUCUCUCCUAUUGCUGGAAACAGGGUUGGAAACAAUCAGCUUCUGUCUUCAUCUUCUUCAGUUCAAUUUUCUUCUUUAGCAGGUAUUAUCUUCUGUUUCUGUUGCAUCUGUUCUGGAAGUCUCUGAUCCACCAUGACCUCCAGUUGACUGAUCCAUAGUCUACAUAUCCAUUCUUCCAAUGUUUGCAGGUACAAAAACAAUGCCUCAGAGAAGACAGUUUGUCCGGCAUCACAUAACCACCAAGUGUCAGAGUCAAAGACAUGAAUCCAGAAUCUCCAUAUUAUGUGUUUCUUUGCAGUCCCUCCAGUAAGGUAGAAGAAGCAAUUCUCCUCUGUGACCAUGAAAUUGAAUUGGGACCUGUGCUGUAAGAAAUCGCCCAGAAAGUCACAGGAGACUGGCACACACCCUCUAAUGAGAAAACAUUUCACAAGCAACAAAAACCACGGUCAAAAACAAUCAGAGAGUUGAUGAUGGAAAGAAACCUAAAGGAGCAUAAUCCAAAAAGCGGCGAGUCUUUCUUAGAAGAGAAGUAAACCAAAUUCUGCUUUCUUCCCUGACAGAAUGGUGAAGAAAGA